RNAcentral lists this long non-coding RNA (2160 nucleotides) under Mus musculus (house mouse). RNAcentral's name for it is "long non-coding RNA chr17:21531024-21533184". The record is from RNAcentral. Lineage: Eukaryota; Metazoa; Chordata; Mammalia; Rodentia; Muridae.
AGGGAGAGCUGGGUUCCCUACUCUCCCUUCACUGCACUGACCAUAGGGCUCCACGUGCCUCCCUAUCCUUACCCUCCCUCCCCCUUCACCUCCCUCCUGUUGCAGCAGCAAUGGUGGUUACCAUAGUGAUGGUGAAGGAUCAGGCUGCUCAUUUUAAAUUACCCCCUUAAACCAGCAGGAGUAAAGUUUGCAUGCUGGGUAAGAAGCACUUGACUUUGGGACAGAUAAUAAGGGUCGAAUUAUGGCUUCACCACCAUCUUUCUUAAGAACAACAACACAGGACUUGAGUAGACCAGGAAAGUCUCCAAAAGAUACUUUUCAUUUGAGGUAAUGUUUUUGUUUCUAGUGAAAGGCCAAACCUACUCUAUCUUGGGACCGGCCUCCAACAUAAAGAUAAAAAAGCCUGAGAACUUGACCUGCAGCAGAACCCAAGCUGCAUCCAAGUACCAGGAAGGACCCCAUGGUUUGUCCUUGGCCAGAGUUACUUUCUAGCAACAGUUAAUCAAAGAUUAGUCUGAUUUUUUCAGACGUACUUUCAGACCCUUUGGGAUUGUUCAUGAUCUUGCUUCAGAGCACCCACCUGUCAGCUUACAAUAGACAUUCAGUUAGAUAUUUGUUAGGCUGGACGCCCCCUCACUUACUCCCAUUCCUUAUAAAACCUUGUCCUGCUGAGGGUUUGAGUCUGCUCUGGCCGGGUGUGGUGGCGCACGCUGCUCUGCCUUCCUUUCUGGUCCUGCUUUGUCAGGGUUGGGUUGGAGGAGAGCCCAAAUCCAAACUUGAAAUAAAGAGACCCAACAGAAACAGCUCCUUGGUGGCCAUUUGGGGUUCAUGAACUCUUCCUGGCACAACAUUUUGGUGCAUUGGCCUGGAACUCCAAGGCCACCAGGACCCAACCCUGGAGAAUCUCGGCACUGGUUAUCUCUGAGUCUGUGAGUCUAUCCAUGUGUGCUUGUGUGAUACUGUAAUAAUCCUGUUCUGAAUAAUUCUGUAAUUCUGUUCUGAAGAGGCCUAAAAAGCUGUAUUACCUGGCAAGAAACAGCAAAAGAGGAUGUAGAAUCCGGCUGCGGUGGUCACCCUGGUACAUCCUAGCCAAGGGGGCUUAGGCGUCGUUCCAAAGAUUCUGGGGUACAGAGUGCCCCUGGUGUUAAUGUCAGUGAAGGACAGAGCGGAAGUGUCCUGUUUGUUUUAGCUGCUGUAUAGUUGUCUGUUCUGUGUGUGUCACUUUAAGGAAUGUUGAGGGACUGACGCUGUAGCGAUUUGAAGACCCACCCAGCCUCUCGGCUUAACUCUUUCUUUUCCAGACCGAUUCGCUACUUUAGGGAGCCUGAGAGUCCCGGGCCUAGGUGCUGGUGUCCCGCAGCUGCGGCGGGAAGUCGCGCGGGGCUGAGCCCACCUCGGGCGGAAGGCCGUGGGGCCUCGCCGGGGCGGGGGCCCAGUCACUCCGCUGGGGAGCCUACCGGCCACCGCGGCGCCCUGGGCAGCGGGGAAAACCUGGGACCCGAGUGGCACCGCUCCGCUUUGCGCAGGCAGAGGAGAGGAGCCCAGUUACUCGGCGCCAGCCAACAAGAUGCUGUGGUGCGCCCGGGCUCCUCGGGGAUUCAAACCCCAGUGUGGGGCUCUCCCUGCAGGCGGCGGGGCACAAAGAAUCUGACCCGACCCCUCGAUUAGCCGCGGCUCACCCAGGCGCGUUUCUCUCCCCUUCCGCCGAGCGGCGCACACAAGGGUCCACGGCCCCUAGAAUGGUCUAAGACUCCCGCGGCCCUAACCUAGAUCUCCAUAAGUGAGGACAUGAGUUCCCAAAGAGCAGAGCUUCAAGCUUGGACAAAAGCAGGAGAGGCCGAUGUCUCCCUUUACCAGAUCGUAGAAUGGCCUCCUGGUCACUCAUUUUGCUCAGUAAAUGGCUACCCUUCCUGCCAGAAGUGCUCGCUCCCGAUCUGAACUGAUGUAGUCUAAGUUGUAAAGAGAGUGGACACCAUCCUGCCACACUCAGCCCACUGAGAAGAACAACCACCGGGGCAGUCACCUUCCCAGAGCUACAAUAAGACAAUAUACUAUGUUAAGAUGGCAGGCAACCCAGGAGGGCUUCAGACUAAAUUUUUCCAGCCUCUGCCUCUCCAUGCCCUCUGCCCAAAGAUUAAAAUAAAGAUAAGAUUGGCCUUC